RNAcentral lists this ribosomal RNA (206 nucleotides) under uncultured bacterium. Its description in RNAcentral is "partial 16S ribosomal RNA". It matches the Rfam family "Bacterial small subunit ribosomal RNA", at positions 568 to 774 of the family's 1533-position model. The record is from RNAcentral.
AGCGCAGGUGGGAAAGUAAGUCUGCUUUAAAAGUGCGGGGCUCAACCCCGUGAGGGAGUGGAAACUAUUUUUCUUGAGUGCAGGAGAGGAAAGCGGAAUUCCUAGUGUAGCGGUGAAAUGCGUAGAUAUUAGGAGGAACACCAGUGGCGAAGGCGGCUUUCUGGACUGUAACUGACACUGAGGCUCGAAAGCCAGGGGAGCGAACA